Molecule: ribosomal RNA, 253 nt
Filed under: uncultured bacterium
Lineage: Bacteria
Description: partial 16S ribosomal RNA
Rfam family: Bacterial small subunit ribosomal RNA
Source: RNAcentral
UACGGAGGGGGCUAGCGUUGUUCGGAAUUACUGGGCGUAAAGCGCGCGUAGGCGGACCUGCAAGUCGGGGGUGAAAGCCCGAGGCUCAACCUCGGAACUGCCUUCGAUACUGCGGGUCUCGAGUCCGGGAGAGGUGAGUGGAGCUGCGAGUGUAGAGGUGAAAUUCGUAGAUAUUCGCAAGAACACCAGUGGCGAAGGCGGCUCACUGGCCCGGUACUGACGCUGAGGUGCGAAAGCGUGGGGAGCAAACAGG